This is a small nucleolar RNA of Leptonychotes weddellii (Weddell seal), 129 nucleotides long. Lineage: Eukaryota; Metazoa; Chordata; Mammalia; Carnivora; Phocidae. The record is from RefSeq and is a predicted model, not a curated record.
AUCUGAGCCACCCAGGCGCCCGCUUCCCUGUUCUGUUAAUUAAACUUUGGAACAUUGAAACCUGGGCUGUGGGAGAUGAUUGGAUAGAAAGCAUUACUCUAUUCAUUUACUACCUCCCAGCCUACAAAA